AAAAAGUUGGUGACUGUAAUUUAGGUUAACCCAUUAUAAUAUCCUACCCUUUGUGAAUUGUUUGUUAUGUAAAAUUUUUUGUCUAUCCCUAAAGAAAGGUUGGAUAAGUGUAAUAGCUUAAAAAACUUUUUUUAGGGAAUGGCUUAAAGACUUUUAUUUAAAAUUAAACUUUUUGUAUUCAUUUGUCUAAAAUUAAUUUUUAAAUAAAUAAUUUAAAAACAACUUUUGACAAUGGAUCUCUUGGUUCUCGCAACGAUGAAGAACGCAGCAAAAUGCGAUAAGUAAUGUGAAUUGCAGAAUACGUGAAUCAUCAAAUCUUCGAACGCAUAUUGCACUUUUUAGUUUACUAAAAAAGUAUGUCUGUUGAGUAUCAGUAAAAUAUUCUCAUAAAAUCAUUUGAUUUAUGGUUAUGAGUGUUUUACAACGAUAAACAGUUGUUUCACUUUAAAUGGAUUUUAAUUGAAAUCGUCGGUUGGGAACGAUUUUAAUUUUUUUUAAAAAUUGGAUAAAAUUUUCCCGUAAAAAGGAAUAAAGCUAUUUCAGUUUUUAGAAAUUUUAAUAGUUUCCAUACCGGUACGGUUAAAGGAAAUUUAUUUAUAAAUAACUUGAUCUCAAAUCAGAUAAGAUACCGCUGAACUUAAGCAUAUCAAUAAGCGGAGGAAAGAAACUAACAAGGAUUCCCUUAGUAACGGCGAGUGAAGCGGGAAGAGCUCAAAUUUGAAAUCUUCAAGGUUCUACCUUGACGAAUUGUAGUUUAAAGAAGUGUUUUCUGUUAGAGGAGUGGCAAAAGUUCUUUGGAAUAGGACAUCAUAGAGGUGAGAAUCCGUAUUUGGUCAUUCUUUCUAGCUGUGUGAUACACUUUCAAAGAGUCGGAUUGUUUGGGAAUGCAGUCCAAAAUGGUGGUAAUUUCAUCUAAAGCUAAAUAUUGGCGAGAGACCGAUAGCGAACAAGUACCGUGAGGGAAAGAUGAAAAAACUUUGAAAGAGAGUUAAACAGUACGUGAAAUUGUCAAAAGGAAGCGUUUGACACCAGUGUUGUUUUUCCGAAAAUCAAUUGUGCCUGGCUGGAUUUUGUAGGAGUUUGACCUUAUCAGCUUCUUCUGCUUUUUUCCGGUCUGGUGCAAUGCACUUUUCGGUUAACAAGUCAACAUCAAUUUCUUUUGUUGUAAAAGGUAAUUGGAAGGUGGUUUCUUUUCGGAGAAAGUGUUUAUAGCCUUUUACCUCUACAAUCGGAGAGAUUGAGUCUGCAGCGUAGAUCCUUCGGGUUAGAUACAUUUGUGCUAAGUUAUAGCCCUGUAUAGACAACUUGUUGACUAUACUCGGUCAUGUAGCUU
RNAcentral lists this unclassified non-coding RNA (1333 nucleotides) under uncultured Neocallimastigales. RNAcentral's name for it is "partial contains internal transcribed spacer 1, 5.8S ribosomal RNA, internal transcribed spacer 2, and large subunit ribosomal RNA". The stretch from base 607 to 1333 matches the Rfam family "Eukaryotic large subunit ribosomal RNA", at positions 1 to 624 of the family's 3401-position model. Lineage: Eukaryota; Fungi; Neocallimastigomycota; Neocallimastigomycetes; Neocallimastigales. The record is from RNAcentral.